CUGUUCUGGCCGAGAGGCCGAGAGAUGUGUCUGUGAGCAUAGUAGCCAAACUGGAGUUGGCUAGACAAAAAUUACGGAAGACCUACAUAAAAAAGUUUAAGUGGAUAUUAUAUAAACAAUACCGCUGUAAACAUACACCGAACCUAAAAUUCGAAGAUGUAGCUAACGUCGUCGGAGAUUUCGAAGUUCCGUCGCAAUUUAAGAAUCUCAUAAUGAACGGACCCACUGCUGUCCCACAUCGUGCACCGAAUAUAUGCGACAUGGCGCCCUCUAUAGAUCGGCUUCUGACGAUUUUUGAUGAAGUUGAUAGAGAAAAAAUCAGGUGGGAUGUUAUCAAGGCGGCACAACCUGUACGUCACGGAGGUAAUAAUAAACACCCCAGACUCAACGCAUCUAUAGGAAUUGCCAAGGAAUGGAUGAAGGUGAACUCUAUUACG
This 437-nucleotide long non-coding RNA is filed under the name Androctonus crassicauda. Lineage: Eukaryota; Metazoa; Arthropoda; Arachnida; Scorpiones; Buthidae. The record is from RNAcentral.